Molecule: RNA transcript, 1184 nt
Organism: Rhinopithecus roxellana (golden snub-nosed monkey)
Lineage: Eukaryota; Metazoa; Chordata; Mammalia; Primates; Cercopithecidae
Gene name: zinc finger protein 669 pseudogene
Exons: 1
Source: RefSeq, a predicted model, not a curated record
UCUUGGCUCUGGGAGGCCCAGGUGGCUCUGCAACAGCCUCUGCCACCCUGUGACCUGUGGGUAUUGGGACAUCCCUAGCUGACGCCAGGACACCCAGGAAGCCGAGGAAUGGACUCCGUGGCUUUUGAGGAUGUGGCUGUGAACUUUACCCAGGAAGAAUGGGCUUUGCUAGAUUCUUCUCAGAAGAAUCUCUACAGAGAAGUGAUGCAGGAAACCUGCAGGAACCUGGCUUCUGUAGAAAUCAUAUGGUACAGAGACUGUGUGAAAGCAAAGAAGGUAGUCAGUAUGGACAAGUUGUCAGCCAAAUUCUAAAUCUUGAUCUGAACGAGGACAUUUCUACUGGAUUAAAACAAUGUGAAUGCAGUAUUUGUGGAAAAGUCUUUGUACGUCAUUCCCUCCUUAAUAGGCACAUCCUAGCUCACUCAGGAUACAAACCAUAUGGAGAGAAGCAAUAUAAAUGUGAACAGCGUGGGAAAUUCUUCAUUUCUGUUCCAGGUGUUAGAAGACACAUGAUAAUGCACAGUGGAAAUCCAGCUUAUAAAUGUACAAUAUGUGGGAAAGCUUUUUAUUUUCUCAAUUCAGUUGAAAGACAUCAGAGAACUGACACAGGAGAAAAACCCUAUAAAUGUAAACAAUGUAGUAAAGCAUUCACUGUUUCCGGUUCUUGUCUAACACAUGAACAAACUCACACUGGAGAGAAACCCUACGAAUGUAAGGAAUGUGGGAAAACAUUCAGAUUUUCUUGUUCUUUUAAGACACAUGAAAGGACUCACACUGGAGAAAGACCCCAUAAAUGUACCAAAUGUGCUAAAGCCUUCAGCUGUUCCACUUCCCUUCAUUACCAUGGAAGCAUUCAUACUGGAGAGAGACCCUAUGAAUGUAAACAACGUGGCAAAGCCUUUAGUCGUUUGAGUUCCCUUUGUAACCAUACAAGUACUCAUACUGGAGAGAAACCCCAUGAAUGUAAACAAUGUGACCAAGCCUUCAGUUGCCUCAGUUCCCUUCACCUCCACGAAAGAAUUCAUACUGGAGAAAAACCCUAUGAAUGUAAGACAUGCGGUAAAGCCUACACUCAUUCCAGUCACCUUACUCGCCAUGAAAGAAGUCAUGAUAUAGAGGCUAGGUGUAGUGACUCAGCCUGUGGUCCUAGCACUUUGGGAGGCCACGGUGUGUGUAUUGCUUGA